CGCAGCCAGUCUUUUGCACAGAGCAUGUGGGCAACGCCUGCAGACUGUACCGAUAUCCUUUUCUUGGGUUUAUUAGCACAGUAACCCAUAUAAAUCAACUGAGGACUGAGGCAAGGCAACCUUAUAAUCCAAGGCAUAUCACAGUCAAACAUCAGACGACACCCUGGCUUUGUGCUCAGUGGGAGGUUGCCUUUAAACCUGGAUUGAAAGGGAUUGCUCAGUACUCUUGGAUAGCUGCCAAUGUACUGGAGAGCCACUGCAACUGAGGACUGGAGAUGGAAAUUAGAUGGAUGGACAUUCAACAGACUACUGCGAAAAGGAACCCUUAGAAUGCAGAUGCUUCAGAAAAACCAUUGAUGGGGCCUUUCCUUUGCGAUAAAAGGCAUCUUCAAUCAAUCUUUUCAAAACGUCCCUGUUGGCAAAUGAUUGUGGAUCUUGCGCUAUCUUUAGAUGCAUAUUGCUUCCUUCUUUAAGGCUCUCUUCGGUGACGGGUAUUCUUGGGUGGAUAAUACAGAUUACGUUGUUAUUGCUUAAGAAUACGCGUAGUCGAGGAGAGUACUUUCUUCAACGUCUUCAAGGAGCUUAAAUCUGUUCGAUCCUAAAGGGCUGGCCUGCCUGGUUUCUUUAUACUGUGGGCAAUUACAGAUACGCUAACACUGAUAUUGAGGUCCAUUUAUUAAGUAACCAGACAGAUUAA
Molecule: long non-coding RNA, 697 nt
Organism: Polyodon spathula (Mississippi paddlefish)
Lineage: Eukaryota; Metazoa; Chordata; Actinopteri; Acipenseriformes; Polyodontidae
Exons: 3
Source: RefSeq, a predicted model, not a curated record